RNAcentral lists this ribosomal RNA (601 nucleotides) under uncultured Bolidomonas. RNAcentral's name for it is "partial Bacterial large subunit ribosomal RNA". It matches the Rfam family "Bacterial large subunit ribosomal RNA", at positions 1952 to 2552 of the family's 2925-position model. Lineage: Eukaryota; Bolidophyceae. The record is from RNAcentral.
UAAGGUAGCGAAAUUCCUUGUCGGGUAAGUUCCGACCCGCACGAAAGGCGUAAUGAUUUGGGUACUGUCUCGGAGAGGGGCUCGGUGAAAUAGACUUGUCUGUGAAGAUGCGGACUACCUGCACCUGGACAGAAAGACCCUAUGAAGCUUUACUGUAACUUGAGAUUGAAAUUGGACUUUAUUUGCGCAGCAUAGGUGGGAAGCUUUGACGGUAUCCUUGCGGGGAUAUCUGAGCUAUCAGUGAGAUACCACUCUUGUAAUGUUAGAUUUCUAACUUUGUACCAUUAGCUGGUCAAAGAACAGUCUCAGGCGGGCAGUUUGACUGGGGCGGUCGCCUCCUAAAUGGUAACGGAGGCGUACAAAGGUUUCCUCAGAUCGGUCAGAAAUCGAUCGUAGAGUGUAAAGGCAGAAGGAAGCUUGACUGUGAGACCUACAAGUCGAGCAGGGACGAAAGUCGGUCUUAGUGAUCUGACGGUACUGAGUGGAAAGGCCGUCACUCAACGGAUAAAAGUUACUCUAGGGAUAACAGGCUGAUCUCCCCCAAGAGUUCACAUCGACGGGGAGGUUUGGCACCUCGAUGUCGGCUCAUCGCAUCCUGGGG